GAUGAAGAACGUAGCGAAUUGCGAUAAGUAAUGUGAAUUGCAGAAUUCAGUGAAUCAUCGAAUCUUUGAACGCACAUUGCGCCCGCCAGUAUUCUGGCGGGCAUGCCUGUCCGAGCGUCAUUUCAACCCUCGAACCCCUCCGGGGGGUCGGCGUUGGGGACCUCGGGAGCCCCUAAGACGGGAUCCCGGCCCCGAAAUACAGUGGCGGUCUCGCCGCAGCCUCUCCUGCGCAGUAGUUUGCACAACUCGCACCGGGAGCGCGGCGCGUCCACGUCCGUAAAACACCCAACUUCUGAAAUGUUGACCUCGGAUCAGGUAGGAAUACCCGCUGAACUUAAGCAUAUCAAUAAGCGGAGGA
RNAcentral lists this unclassified non-coding RNA (358 nucleotides) under soil metagenome. RNAcentral describes it as "partial contains 5.8S ribosomal RNA, internal transcribed spacer 2, and large subunit ribosomal RNA". The stretch from base 1 to 120 matches the Rfam family "5.8S ribosomal RNA", at positions 35 to 154 of the family's 154-position model. The record is from RNAcentral.